Molecule: ribosomal RNA, 621 nt
Filed under: proteobacterium Se3Ps_2605
Lineage: Bacteria; Pseudomonadati; Pseudomonadota
Description: bacterial SSU rRNA
Rfam family: Bacterial small subunit ribosomal RNA
Source: RNAcentral
UGCCGCGUGAGUGAAGAAGGCCUUCGGGUUGUAAAGCUCUUUUGUCAGGGAAGAAACGGUCUGUUCUAAUACAGUGGGCUAAUGACGGUACCUGAAGAAUAAGCACCGGCUAACUACGUGCCAGCAGCCGCGGUAAUACGUAGGGUGCAAGCGUUAAUCGGAAUUACUGGGCGUAAAGCGUGCGCAGGCGGUUUUGUAAGUUUGUCGUGAAAUCCCCGGGCUCAACCUGGGAAUGGCGAUGAAGACUGCAAGGCUAGAGUUUGGCAGAGGGGGGUAGAAUUCCACGUGUAGCAGUGAAAUGCGUAGAUAUGUGGAGGAACACCGAUGGCGAAGGCAGCCCCCUGGGUCAAAACUGACGCUCAUGCACGAAAGCGUGGGGAGCAAACAGGAUUAGAUACCCUGGUAGUCCACGCCCUAAACGAUGUCUACUAGUUGUCGGGUCUUAAUUGACUUGGUAACGCAGCUAACGCGUGAAGUAGACCGCCUGGGGAGUACGGUCGCAAGAUUAAAACUCAAAGGAAUUGACGGGGACCCGCACAAGCGGUGGAUGAUGUGGAUUAAUUCGAUGCAACGCGAAAAACCUUACCUACCCUUGACAUGGCUGGAAUCCCUGAGAGAUUG